Molecule: unclassified non-coding RNA, 222 nt
Filed under: plant metagenome
Description: partial contains small subunit ribosomal RNA, internal transcribed spacer 1, and 5.8S ribosomal RNA
Source: RNAcentral
UCUCCGUAGGUGAACCUGCGGAGGGAUCAUUACAGAGUUCAUGCCCUCACGGGUAGAUCUCCCACCCUGUGUUAUUAUACUUUGUUGCUUUGGCAGGCCGCCCGCGUGGGCUACCGGCUCCAGCUGGUAAGUGCCUGCCAGAGGACCCCAAACUCUGAAUGUUUUAUUGUCUGAGUACUAUAUAAUAGUUUAAAACUUUCAACAACGGAUCUCUUGGUUCUG